RNAcentral lists this ribosomal RNA (253 nucleotides) under uncultured Acinetobacter sp. RNAcentral's name for it is "partial 16S ribosomal RNA". It matches the Rfam family "Bacterial small subunit ribosomal RNA", at positions 524 to 776 of the family's 1533-position model. Lineage: Bacteria; Pseudomonadati; Pseudomonadota; Gammaproteobacteria; Moraxellales; Moraxellaceae. The record is from RNAcentral.
UACAGAGGGUGCGAGCGUUAAUCGGAUUUACUGGGCGUAAAGCGUACGUAGGCGGCUUUUUAAGUCGGAUGUGAAAUCCCUGAGCUUAACUUAGGAAUUGCAUUCGAUACUGGGAAGCUAGAGUAUGGGAGAGGAUGGUAGAAUUCCAGGUGUAGCGGUGAAAUGCGUAGAGAUCUGGAGGAAUACCGAUGGCGAAGGCGACUGUCUGGUCUGUAACUGACACUGAGGCGCGAAAGCGUGGGGAGCAAACAGG